Molecule: ribosomal RNA, 696 nt
Filed under: uncultured Chroococcales cyanobacterium
Lineage: Bacteria; Bacillati; Cyanobacteriota; Cyanophyceae; Chroococcales
Description: bacterial SSU rRNA
Rfam family: Bacterial small subunit ribosomal RNA
Source: RNAcentral
AGUGGCGGACGGGUGAGUAACGCGUGAGAAUCUGGCCUCAGGUCGGGGAUAACGACUGGAAACGGUCGCUAAUACCGGAUGUGCCUAAGGGUGAAAGCUUUAGUGCCUGAGGAUGAGCUCGCGUCUGAUUAGCUAGUUGGAGUGGUAAUGGCACACCAAGGCGACGAUCAGUAGCUGGUCUGAGAGGAUGAUCAGCCACACUGGGACUGAGACACGGCCCAGACUCCUACGGGAGGCAGCAGUGGGGAAUUUUCUGCAAUGGGCGAAAGCCUGACGGAGCAAUACCGCGUGAGGGAAGACGGCUUUUGGGUUGUAAACCUCUUUUGUCAGGGAAGAAGAUCUGACGGUACCUGACGAAUCAGCAUCGGCUAACUCCGUGCCAGCAGCCGCGGUAAUACGGAGGAUGCAAGCGUUAUCCGGAUUUAUUGGGCGUAAAGCGUCCGCAGGUGGCUAUACAAGUCUGCUGUUAAAGCGCGAGGCUUAACCUCGUACAGGCGGUGGAAACUGUAUGGCUAGAGUAUGGUAGGGGUAGCGGGAAUUCCCAGUGUAGCGGUGAAAUGCGUAGAUAUUGGGAAGAACACCAGCGGCGAAAGCGCGCUACUGGGCCAUAACUGACACUCAUGGACGAAAGCUAGGGGAGCGAAAGGGAUUAGAUACCCCUGUAGUCCUAGCUGUAAACGAUGGGUACUAGGUGUU